RNAcentral lists this ribosomal RNA (549 nucleotides) under uncultured Glomeromycotina. RNAcentral describes it as "SSU rRNA". It matches the Rfam family "Eukaryotic small subunit ribosomal RNA", at positions 548 to 1098 of the family's 1831-position model. The record is from RNAcentral. Lineage: Eukaryota; Fungi; Glomeromycota.
UUGGAGGGCAAGUCUGGUGCCAGCAGCCGCGGUAAUUCCAGCUCCAAUAGCGUAUAUUAAAGUUGUUGCAGUUAAAAAGCUCGUAGUUGAAUUUCGGGAUCAAUAUAUUGGUCGUGCCUCUGGUAUGCACUGGUAUUAUUGAUUUCUACCUUCUGACGAACUGUGAUGUCAUUAAUUUGGUGUCAUGGGGAAUCAGGACUGUUACUUUGAAAAAAUUAGAGUGUUUAAAGCAGGCACACGCUUGAAUACAUUAGCAUGGAAUAAUGAAAUAGGACGUUUGACCCUAUUUUGUUGGUUUCUAGGAUCGACGUAAUGAUUAAUAGGGAUAGUUGGGGGCAUUAGUAUUCAAUUGUCAGAGGUGAAAUUCUUGGAUUUAUUGAAGACUAACUACUGCGAAAGCAUUUGCCAAGGAUGUUUUCAUUAAUCAAGAACGAACGUUAGGGGAUCGAAGACGAUCAGAUACCGUCGUAGUCUUAACCAUAAACUAUGCCGACUAGGGAUCGGAUGAUGUUAAUUUUUUAAUGACUCAUUCGGCGCCUUACGGGAAAC